GACUUUUAGCGGUGGAUCACUGGGCUUCUGCGUUGAUGAAGAACGCAGCUAGCUGUGAUAACUAAUGUGAAUUGCAGGACACAUUGAUCAUCCAUACUUCGAAUGCACUUGUGGCCCGAGUUCCUCCCAUGGCUAUGCCUGUCUGAGCGUCG
Ribosomal RNA from Gorilla gorilla gorilla (western lowland gorilla), 152 nucleotides. It matches the Rfam family "5.8S ribosomal RNA". From Rfam's summary of the family: 5.8S ribosomal RNA (5.8S rRNA) is a component of the large subunit of the eukaryotic ribosome. NCBI's taxonomy places the organism in Eukaryota, Metazoa, Chordata, Mammalia, Primates, Hominidae. The record is from Ensembl.